UAAGGAAUAUUGCUCAAUGGGAGAAAUCCUGAAGCAGCAACGCCGCGUGGAGGAUGAAGGGUUUUUAACUUGUAAACUCCUGUAAAGAAGGAAAAAAUUCCCAUUAGAUGGGAAAUGAUGGUACUUCUGGAGUAAGCCCCGGCUAACUACGUGCCAGCAGCCGCGGUAAUACGUAGGGGGCAAGCGUUGUCCGGAUUUACUGGGUGUAAAGGGUGCUCAGGCGGAUUUGUAAGUCAGAGGUGAAAUCUCACAGCUUAACUGUGAAACUGCCUUUGAUACUGCAAGCCUAGAGUAUGGAAGAGAGUGAUGGAAUAUCUGGUGUAGCAGUGAAAUGCGUAGAUAUCAGAUAGAACACCAAUGGCGAAGGCAGUCACUUGGUCCAUAACUGACGCUAAAGCACGAAAGCGUGGGUAGCAAACAGGAUUAGAUACCCUGGUAGUCCACGCCCUAAACGAUGAAUACUAGAUGUUGGCUUCGCAUGAAGUCAGUAUCUGAGCUAACGCAUUAAGUAUUCCACCUGGGAAGUACGAUCGCAAGGUUGAAACUUAAAUGAAUUGACGGGGUCAUAGCUGUUUCCUG
Molecule: ribosomal RNA, 579 nt
Filed under: uncultured bacterium
Lineage: Bacteria
Description: partial 16S ribosomal RNA
Rfam family: Bacterial small subunit ribosomal RNA
Source: RNAcentral